Molecule: non-coding RNA, 67 nt
Filed under: Agrilactobacillus composti
Lineage: Bacteria; Bacillati; Bacillota; Bacilli; Lactobacillales; Lactobacillaceae
Also listed under: 1 other name
Description: Lactobacillus composti Fluoride sequence
Rfam family: Fluoride riboswitch aptamer (crcB RNA motif)
Source: RNAcentral
AAGUUAAUAGGCGAUGAUGUUCGCCAUAAAAUAAUUGUUCAAACAAUUUGAUGACGUCUACUGUAAU